This is a non-coding RNA of Brassica rapa (field mustard), 124 nucleotides long. The record is from Rfam. Lineage: Eukaryota; Viridiplantae; Streptophyta; Magnoliopsida; Brassicales; Brassicaceae.
GGAAUAUAAGAAUCUGUCUCUUAAUUUUUAACUGAAAAAGCUAAAAAUUGGUUCUUAAUAAGAUAUUUAAAAACCGGUUCUUAACUUUUUUAGUUAAAAGUUAAGAGACAAAUUCUUAUAUUCA